This 28-nucleotide non-coding RNA is filed under the name Rattus norvegicus (Norway rat). Lineage: Eukaryota; Metazoa; Chordata; Mammalia; Rodentia; Muridae. The record is from RNAcentral.
UGAUUGACUUGGGUGUUGGUUUAUCAGA